GGCAUCGUGGCUGAGAGGUUAAAGCGUUGCACUCGAAUUAUGCAAUGGGUUCACCCGCGCAGGUUCGAAUCCUGCCGAUGUCG
Molecule: non-coding RNA, 83 nt
Organism: Yamadazyma jaroonii
Lineage: Eukaryota; Fungi; Ascomycota; Pichiomycetes; Serinales; Debaryomycetaceae
Source: the annotation of a GenBank genome assembly